RNAcentral lists this non-coding RNA (136 nucleotides) under human gut metagenome. RNAcentral describes it as "glmS glucosamine-6-phosphate activated ribozyme". It matches the Rfam family "glmS glucosamine-6-phosphate activated ribozyme aptamer", at positions 10 to 152 of the family's 167-position model. From Rfam's summary of the family: This entry contains a glucosamine-6-phosphate activated ribozyme that is found in the mRNA for GlmS. GlmS is an enzyme that uses fructose-6-phosphate and glutamine to generate glucosamine-6-phosphate. The ribozyme catalyses self cleavage of the glmS mRNA that is thought to regulate GlmS activity. The record is from RNAcentral.
GCAAAGCGCCAGAACCGGGGUUUUCCACGCCCCGGUGGACGAGGAAAGGGUUGAUCGAACUGUUCGGCGGGUGCCCUUCGGCAGAUCCGCUGCCGAGAGCUGUGUGCAAAACUGCGGGCAAUCGCAGCACAAAUCG